GCCUUUGCACAGUGGCAGUAUCGUAGCCAAAGAGGUUUAACCGAGGCGCGGUUGUUGCUUAUUGAAAAGCUAUCCCAAUUAAUUUAUCUAAUUUACUUUAUAAGUAAAUUAAAUGAAAUGCUUACUUGACACAAAG
Small nuclear RNA from Carcharodon carcharias (great white shark), 136 nucleotides. RefSeq annotates it as U4 spliceosomal RNA. NCBI's taxonomy places the organism in Eukaryota, Metazoa, Chordata, Chondrichthyes, Lamniformes, Lamnidae. The record is from RefSeq and is a predicted model, not a curated record. The transcript has a single exon.